RNAcentral lists this unclassified non-coding RNA (256 nucleotides) under Xylaria sp. Its description in RNAcentral is "partial internal transcribed spacer region". The stretch from base 1 to 46 matches the Rfam family "Eukaryotic small subunit ribosomal RNA", at positions 1786 to 1831 of the family's 1831-position model. The record is from RNAcentral. Lineage: Eukaryota; Fungi; Ascomycota; Sordariomycetes; Xylariales; Xylariaceae.
AAGUCGUAACAAGGUCUCCGUUGGUGAACCAGCGGAGGGAUCAUUACCGAGUUAUACAAAAACUCCUAAACCAUUGUGAACCUACCUUUUACGUUGCCUCGGCAGGCCCGCGCCUACCCUGGAGCUACCCUGUAGCUACCCUGGAGGUGUGCCAUAGGGCCUGCCGGUGGUCUACCAAACUCUUAUUAUUACGAAACAGUCUGACAAUACCAAACAAAAUACGUUAAAACUUUCAACAACGGAUCUCUUGGUUCUG